Molecule: ribosomal RNA, 98 nt
Filed under: Sporothrix sp. AMC_SG_001
Lineage: Eukaryota; Fungi; Ascomycota; Sordariomycetes; Ophiostomatales; Ophiostomataceae
Description: 5.8S ribosomal RNA
Rfam family: 5.8S ribosomal RNA
About the family: 5.8S ribosomal RNA (5.8S rRNA) is a component of the large subunit of the eukaryotic ribosome.
Source: RNAcentral
ACGUAAUGUGAAUUGCAGAAUUCAGCGAACCAUCGAAUCUUUGAACGCACAUUGCGCCCGCCAGCAUUCUGGCGGGCAUGCCUGUCCGAGCGUCAUUU